Equus caballus (horse) is the source of this 3261-nucleotide long non-coding RNA. NCBI's taxonomy places the organism in Eukaryota, Metazoa, Chordata, Mammalia, Perissodactyla, Equidae. The record is from Ensembl.
GUUAGAACCUGUUGAACAAGACAGCCGGCCUCCUGAACAGCUGGAGGGCAUCAGAGCUGGGGCCCCACACCGGCCGGACUUUGACUUCAGAGCAAAGUUUCCCAGUGCUGGGGCCCCACCCCUGCCCAUUCCAGCUCUUGGGCCUGAGCGAGUCCCAGGCAUCUGUAUUUGUCACAAGCUACAGGAAUGAUUCAAAUACUGGCCAGACCAGUUAACCCCUGCCCUGUGUGGCCCUGAGUAAAGCGGACUCCUCCCUUUCCUCCCAGACAUGGAGUGAAUUCACUUUAAGGAGGCUGGAGUGUAGUGGUUGUGAGCUCAGAUCCUGGCUCUGCCAUUUAACAGCUAUGUGGCCUUGAGCAGGUGACUUACCCUCUCUGUGCCUUGGCUUCCUCGUUUGAAAAAUAAGGGUAAUUAUUAUUUUCCUGCCCUGCAGUGAGAACGGCUUCUCAUUGAUUUCAUAGGAGAGCUCUAGUUCAAAUCUUAGAUCUGCCUCUAUCAAUUAGCCAAGUUUUGUUUGCGUUAGUCCCUCUGAGCUGGGCUGCAGUUUGAUCGCUUGUGCACUGUGCUGGGCACACACAAGUCCAGUCUGUGCUCACUGUGGUUCACUCCCCUUUGCAUGUGGAUGAAACCCAGCCCCUCCUCUGCAGAUAAGGACAGGUGAGACCAGGAGCCCCACCGUCUGCACAGUGACAUCGGACCAGGAGGCCUCUGUCAGUCACUAGGUACAAAGUACAUUAAAUUCUUGGUGAAGCCACAGCCCAUGGACCCCUUGGGAAGACGGCCUGGCCUUCUGCCUCCUCCCCACGGAAAGGACUGCUCGGACCCUCACAGCCAGGCGGGCUGGACCAUGCUCCAGGGUCCAGUCCAGAGGAGACCUCAGUAGGGGACAGAGGAGGGAGGUGGUCUGCCCUGGAAAGUCUCUGUAGUGUAAACUGAUGGGUUCUGCCUGUUGGGAAGCUUUUCAAGCAGCCCACCCAGCUCCAUGCCACGGCCUUUCUAGCUGCUAAACAAGUUUCCUGAGCACCCACGAGGCCGAGCUCUAGAGAGAGGGCCUUCAGGGCAUGCACUCUGGCCCCAGAUGGAAUCUGAAUCCCAGCUCUGCAGUUUAUUAGCCUGUGUCAACCUAAAAGCAAAUUUAUCUGUUAUUUUAUCCUCAAAAACGAGUUUAUUAGGAAAUAGCCAAAAGAACUGCAAUUCGGGAUGAGCUUGCUAUGGCAAACUGUGGGCAAACCCAGAGAACAAAGGAGCGAGCUGCUUUUAUAGAGAAGGGGGUGGGGCGGACAGAGAGAGGCUGUUCUAGAGGAAAUUCCAUUGGGGGAGAGUAAGAGAUCAAGGGAGCAACGGCUUCUCAUUGGCUGAGCUGUGCAUUUCUCAUUGGCUGAGCUGCAGUGUUUCUCAUUGGCUAAGCUACAGCGUUUCUCAUUGGCUGAGCUGCAACAUUUCUCAUUGGCUGAGCUGUGGCAUUUCUCAUUGGCUGAGCUGCGGCAUUUCUCAUUGGCUGAGCUGCAGUGUUUCUCAUUGGCUGAGCUGUGGUGUUUCACAUUGGCUGAGCUGAGGCACUUCUCAUUGGCUGAACUGCAGCACUUCUCAUUGGCUGAGCUGCAGUGUUUCUCAUUGGCUGAGCUGCAUCACUUCUCAUUGGCUGAGCUGCAGUGUUUCUCAUUGGCUGGGCUGCAGUGUUUCUCAUUGGCUGGGCUGCAGUGUUUCUCAUUGGCUGGGCUGUUGCCAGGUGGGGAGAGAAAUCUUCCUUCCCUACUGAAGUAGUCCUACUUCCUUCCAAGAUGCAAGUGUCUGACUUUUCCUGUUUGGUGCAAUUGACAAUGCGUGACGGAUGUGAGAGCCCCUGCAGGCCUUCCCAAUUCCAGUCUAGUUAAGGUUUCUUUAUUAAUUUCCACACCUGUGACCUUGGGCAAGCCCCGCUAUCCAUCUCCACCUAUGAAAUGGGGGUGAUGAUAAAAGUGCUUACCACCUGGGGUUGUUUAGAGGAUCCGCUGGUAUAUGGAAAGUUCUUACAACAGAUCCCGGCGCGCAGUAGGAGCUGUAAGAGUCAGCAGCUGACGUGUGGCACACACGUCUGGGGAUUGGGGACACGUCAAGGGGCAAAAUAAUCAGAAAUUUACCCUCACUGAGCUUGUAUUCUAGUGGGGAGACAGAUAAACAAAAUAAAUUGGUAGUUUAUAUUCUGUAACUGGUGUGUGAGUUCUAUGAAGAAAAAUAAGGCAGGGAGAGCUGGGAUGAGUGUGUCAGCAAGCCCCCGCUGUGAAGUUCUGUGAAGAUGUUGGGGGAAGAGGGCUGCAGGCAGAGGAGACAGCCUGUGCAAAGGUCCUGAGGUGAGAGAGUGCCUGGGGCCUUGGAGGACCGGUGAGGCGGGCAGCAUGGCCAUUGCUGAGUAAAUGUGGGAGAAAGUGGUGAGAGAGGGCAUGGCGAAUCUUAGGCCCUUGAAAUGACCUUGGCUUUUAUUCUGAGUGACCUGAGAAGCCCUUGGAAAGUUCUGAGCAGAGCAGUGACAUGACCUGACUCAUGUUUGUUUCUUUUUUAAAGUAUGCUUUCUUUGGUGAGGAAGAUUGGCCCUGAGCUAACAUCUGUUGCCAAUCUUCCUCUUUUUUUCCUUUUUUUUCUCCCCAAAGGCCCAGUACAUAGUUGUUUAUCCUAGUUGUAGGUGAUUCUAGCUCUUCUAUGUGGGACGCCACCACAGCAUGGCCUGAUGGGCAGUGCCAUGUCUGCACCCAGGAUCCAAACUGGGCAGCCGAAGCGGAGCACGCGAACUUAACCACUCAGCCAUGGGGGUCGGCCCCGCCCCGACUCAUGUUUUAACAGGACAAGUCUGGUUGUUGUGCUAAGAACAGGCUGGGGCGGUGAGGAAGAGGCAGGAGACCAGUACUUUUGCAAUAAUACCCCAGCUGAGAGGGUGGUGACUGGGACUGCAGGCCGUGGGCGGGGGCCGGAUCCUGGAUGCAUUCUGCAGGGACAGCCUGCAGGACUGCCCCCGCAUCGGAGACGGGGUGAGAGAGAAGGGAGGCAGGGCUGCUUCCGUGUUUGGGCCUGAGCAACUGCAAGUACGGACUUGCCAUCCCCUGCGAGCACAUUCCGAGGGAGACGCGAGGAGUUGCUGGCGUGUGAAGCUGGAGAUGUCUUUCAGACACCGAGUAAGAGGCGGAGGAGGCAUCUGGGCACACGGACGGGGUUCCGCCCAGAGAGGCGUUGGGGAUGAGCCUGUGGAAUUACUGGUGUCUGUAGGGGAUUGAGGGUCCCGAGACAGGU